CGGAAUAGACACAAUGUCAGCAUCACCUGUAACAUUAGAGACCCGUUUAAUUCACCACAAUAAACCCAUAAAUUCGUUUAUAAAUAAAAACAUUCUUAAUGUGUAAUAAUAAUAAAAAUAAAAUAAAACCGUUACGAUAGACGGCCAUCUCCUCUUUGAAGUACUCUCCAAAAUAAAAUAUAAAGCUUUAGCGGUGAGUUAAAACGAGAAUCGACGAUUCGCCUAAAAUUACACAGCGCUCUGAUACACAGCCGAGAUUUUAGAGACUUCUGCAUAACUGACCCUACUUUUAAACAUAACGCAUACCUAUUGUAGGGUGUGUCGUAAAGCCAUUAACACCCCCACAGACACUCAUUAUCAUGAACAAUCUGUAGGAUCACACCAAGACCCCCCUAGUCAUAAAAAACUCUUGGUCAGGAAGAAACAAAGGGCCAUAAAUUAAGCACUCCCAGAGAAACGCAGGCCUGACAAGGACGAGGCCAUAAAUUAGCCCUCUAGUUCUACCGCCGUGAUUGACAUUUUGACAGAACAUACUGGCUAAGAUGAAAACACGUGUAUGGGUGUGGAGAGAGAGAGAGAGAGAGAGAGAGAGAGAGAGAGGCGUGUUUGAAUACACGUAUGUGUGGGCGGGGUUUAGCGAGAGUGAGGUGUUUCAGUUUAACUUCAUUACUGCUUAACACAGACACUGGAAGACAUCUCUUGAAAAAAAAAAAAAAAAAAAACUUAUCUCCUAGUUUAAACAUCUUUUAAACAGCACUUUAACAUUUUUACCUCGUAAGGAUCUUUGUUUAGAAGUCAUGUAAUAUGCGCUAUUCUUUUUAAACAGCUCUUUUAAUCAUUUUUACAUCCUAAAGGUUUCUGUUUAGAAUGUAUGUAAUACAAACGAUUCUUUUAAACAGAUUCUUAAAAAAAAAAAAAAAAGACGCUUUAACUCCUAAACUUUUUAUUCAAAGGUAAACCGGGAUCCCUAAAAACAUAGUCAACAAUUGUUUUCAUUUAUUUCACAAAACAAAUAUUCUACUCAUAUACGUACACAUUCAAACAUCAUGCUUUUCUAACAGUGUGUUUACACAAACGAAAUACCCCCACACAGUAACACAAACUCAUCCCCAUAUUAAAAACAUUAUUUCUUUUCAGACGUAUUUCACCCCACCAAAAACCAAACUCAUUAACAUAAACACCUUUUGUUGGGAGGGGGGCUAUUCCCCCCCACCUCUCCACAACACCCCCAGACACAAAGGAGCCAGAUUGACCAGCUGAUACACUCGAUAGGGUUACCCCUCUCACCACCCCUACAGACCUGCCAGUCAGGGAAGCACAGAGGGUCAUAAAUUAUCAAACACACUACUUUGAUUGACAGUUUGACAGAAAGUGUAUGAUAUAACUACUUAUGCGGGGAAAAAAAACUGAUUAAUCAAGUUACUGCUGUGUAAUUUCAAAGAAAUAUAUCCAGAUGUAAUUGUUCACUAAGAUUUAUUUUUAUUUCAUCUUUUACUGGAAUACGAAAUCUCUUGCAUACAAAACUGCACGUACGAAACCAAAACCUACGGAGCUAAGCACGCGCAUGCGCAGAUAUUGUCCCUAAACCACGUUGGAUUUCAUUGUAUAAGCCAUAUCUUGAUCUGGUAUGUUUGUGUUAUAUAUGAAUGGAUUGUUAAAUAGAUUAUACUCUAGGCAUUUCCAUGACGUGUAAAAAUGUUUAUUUUACACACCUGAAUAAAAGAUUCUGAAGUCCCAAUCCCUUCGUUGCUAAUAUGUGGUCGAAAUCGCGUUUAAUAGAACGUGUAGUGAGGAGCUGAGAGAAAACUACAUCUUUCCCCCUGGAGUUGAUUCUCUCACAGCCUCAUCUGAGUGGAGCAGCAGAGCUGGACACUAACUCAAGGUUUAUCGAAAUUGUUUAUUCACAC
This is a long non-coding RNA of Ictalurus punctatus (channel catfish), 1907 nucleotides long. Lineage: Eukaryota; Metazoa; Chordata; Actinopteri; Siluriformes; Ictaluridae. The record is from Ensembl.